UGCGGUCGCAGCNACNGCAAUGAUACAUCGGAACGUGCCCUGUAGUGGGGGAUAACUAGUCGAAAGAACUAACUAAUACCGCAUACGACCUGGAGGGUGAAAGUGGGGGACCGCAAGGCCUCAUGCUAUAGGAGCGGCCGAUGUCUGAUUAGCUAGUUGGUGGGGUAAAGGCCUACCAAGGCGACUAUCAGUAGCUGGUUCUGAGAGGACGAUCAGCCACACUGGGUACUGAGACACGGCCCAU
RNAcentral lists this ribosomal RNA (244 nucleotides) under Ralstonia solanacearum. Its description in RNAcentral is "partial 16S ribosomal RNA". It matches the Rfam family "Bacterial small subunit ribosomal RNA", at positions 106 to 334 of the family's 1533-position model. Lineage: Bacteria; Pseudomonadati; Pseudomonadota; Betaproteobacteria; Burkholderiales; Burkholderiaceae. The record is from RNAcentral.